RNAcentral lists this ribosomal RNA (253 nucleotides) under uncultured bacterium. RNAcentral's name for it is "partial 16S ribosomal RNA". It matches the Rfam family "Bacterial small subunit ribosomal RNA", at positions 524 to 776 of the family's 1533-position model. The record is from RNAcentral.
GACGAACCGUGCAAACGUUGUUCGGAAUCACUGGGCUUAAAGGGCGCGUAGGCGGCUUGCCAAGUCAGGGGUGAAAUCUUUCGGCUUAACCGGAAAAGUGCCUUUGAUACUGGUAAGCUUGAGGGAGGUAGGGGCAUGUGGAACUUCCGGUGGAGCGGUGAAAUGUGUUGAUAUCGGAAGGAACGCCGGUGGCGAAAGCGACGUGCUGGACCUCUUCUGACGCUGAGGCGCGAAAGCUAGGGGAGCGAACGGG